RNAcentral lists this ribosomal RNA (468 nucleotides) under uncultured bacterium. RNAcentral describes it as "partial 16S ribosomal RNA". It matches the Rfam family "Bacterial small subunit ribosomal RNA", at positions 28 to 507 of the family's 1533-position model. The record is from RNAcentral.
GACGAACGCUGGCGGCGUGCUUAACACAUGCAAGUCGAACGGAAAGGCCCUGCUUUUGUGGGGGGCUCGAGUGGCGAACGGGUGAGUAACACGUGAGUAACCUGCCCUUGACUUUGGGAUAACUUCAGGAAACUGGGGCUAAUACCGGAUAGGAGCUCCUGCUGCAUGGUGGGGGUUGGAAAGUUUCGGCGGUUGGGGAUGGACUCGCGGCUUAUCAGCUUGUUGGUGGGGUAGUGGCUUACCAAGGCUUUGACGGGUAGCCGGCCUGAGAGGGUGACCGGCCACAUUGGGACUGAGAAGCGGCCCAGACUCCUACGGGAGGCAGCAGUGGGGAAUAUUGCACAAUGGGCGGAAGCCUGAUGCAGCAACGCCGCGUGCGGGAUGACGGCCUUCGGGUUGUAAACCGCUUUCGCCUGUGACGAAGCGUGAGUGACGGUAAUGGGUAAAGAAGCACCGGCUAACUACGUG